Small nucleolar RNA from Benincasa hispida (wax gourd), 140 nucleotides. RefSeq annotates it as small nucleolar RNA snoR2/U65. Lineage: Eukaryota; Viridiplantae; Streptophyta; Magnoliopsida; Cucurbitales; Cucurbitaceae. The record is from RefSeq and is a predicted model, not a curated record.
GGUUCAAUGUCACAUCGUCGAUAGCUCAUUGAUGGUGACUUGUGCUGCUAUGAUUGAACCAAAAAAAAUUUCACAUCUUGAUAGAAACAUGUUCAUCUUUUUUCUAUAGAUUUACAGAGCUAUUUUGUGUGAUUACAUAU